Molecule: ribosomal RNA, 592 nt
Filed under: Fusarium sp.
Lineage: Eukaryota; Fungi; Ascomycota; Sordariomycetes; Hypocreales; Nectriaceae
Description: eukaryotic LSU rRNA
Rfam family: Eukaryotic large subunit ribosomal RNA
Source: RNAcentral
UUAAGCAUAUCAAUAAGCGGAGGAAAAGAAACCAACAGGGAUUGCCCUAGUAACGGCGAGUGAAGCGGCAACAGCUCAAAUUUGAAAUCUGGCUCUCGGGCCCGAGUUGUAAUUUGUAGAGGAUACUUUUGAUGCGGUGCCUUCCGAGUUCCCUGGAACGGGACGCCAUAGAGGGUGAGAGCCCCGUCUGGUUGGAUGCCAAAUCUCUGUAAAGUUCCUUCGACGAGUCGAGUAGUUUGGGAAUGCUGCUCUAAAUGGGAGGUAUAUGUCUUCUAAAGCUAAAUACCGGCCAGAGACCGAUAGCGCACAAGUAGAGUGAUCGAAAGAUGAAAAGCACUUUGAAAAGAGAGUUAAAAAGUACGUGAAAUUGUUGAAAGGGAAGCGUUUAUGACCAGACUUGGGCUUGGUUAAUCAUCUGGGGUUCUCCCCAGUGCACUUUUCCAGUCCAGGCCAGCAUCAGUUUUCCCCGGGGGAUAAAGACUUCGGGAAUGUGGCUCUCUUCGGGGAGUGUUAUAGCCCGUUGUGUAAUACCCUGGGGGGGACUGAGGUUCGCGCAUCUGCAAGGAUGCUGGCGUAAUGGUCAUCAACGACC